CUUGCACUGAUUUUAACAAUGAAGCGAGUGGCGAACUGGUGAGUAACACGUGGGAAAUCUGCCCAGAAGCAGGGGAUAACACUUGGAAACAGGUGCUAAUACCGUAUAACAACAAAGUCCGCAUGGAUUUUGUUUGAAAGGUGGCUUCGGCUAUCACUUCUGGAUGAUCCCGCGGCGUAUUAGUUAGUUGGUGAGGUAAAGGCCCACCAAGACGAUGAUACGUAGCCGACCUGAGAGGGUAAUCGGCCACAUUGGGACUGAGACACGGCCCAAACUCCUACGGGAGGCAGCAGUAGGGAAUCUUCCACAAUGGACGAAAGUCUGAUGGAGCAAUGCCGCGUGAGUGAAGAAGGGUUUCGGCUCGUAAAACUCUGUUGUUAAAGAAGAACACCUUUGAGAGUAACUGUUCAAGGGUUGACGGUAUUUAACCAGAAAGCCACGGCUAACUACGUGCCAGCAGCCGCGGUAAUACGUAGGUGGCAAGCGUUGUCCGGAUUUAUUGGGCGUAAAGCGAGCGCAGGCGGUUUUUUAAGUCUGAUGUGAAAGCCUUCGGCUUAACCGGAGAAGUGCAUCGGAAACUGGGAGACUUGAGUGCAGAAGAGGACAGUGGAACUCCAUGUGUAGCGGUGGAAUGCGUAGAUAUAUGGAAGAACACCAGUGGCGAAGGCGGCUGUCUAGUCUGUAACUGACGCUGA
RNAcentral lists this ribosomal RNA (695 nucleotides) under Levilactobacillus brevis. Its description in RNAcentral is "bacterial SSU rRNA". It matches the Rfam family "Bacterial small subunit ribosomal RNA", at positions 67 to 749 of the family's 1533-position model. The record is from RNAcentral. Lineage: Bacteria; Bacillati; Bacillota; Bacilli; Lactobacillales; Lactobacillaceae.